GACGAACGCUGGCGGCGUGCCUAAUACAUGCAAGUAGAACGCACAGUUUAUACCGUAGCUUGCUACACCAUAGACUGUGAGUUGCGAACGGGUGAGUAACGCGUAGGUAACCUGCCUGGUAGCGGGUGAUAACUAUUGGAAACGAUAGCUAAUACCGCAUAAUAUUAAUUAUUGCAUGAUAAUUAAUUGAAAGGUGCAAUUGCACCACUACCAGAUGGACCUGCGUUGUAUUAGCUAGUAGGUGAGGUAACGGCUCACCUAGGCGACGAUACAUAGCCGACCUGGGAGGGGGAUCGGCCACACUGGGACUGAGACACGGCCCAGACUCCUACGGGAGGCAGCAGUAGGGAAUCUUCGGCAAUGGACGAAAGGCUGACCGAGCAACGCCGCGUGAGUGAAGAAGGGUUUCGGAUCGUAAAGCUCUGUUGUAAGAGAAGAACGGGUGUGAGAGUGAAAAGUUCACACUGUGACGGUAUCUUACCAGAAAGGGACGGCUAACUACGUG
RNAcentral lists this ribosomal RNA (505 nucleotides) under uncultured bacterium. RNAcentral's name for it is "partial 16S ribosomal RNA". It matches the Rfam family "Bacterial small subunit ribosomal RNA", at positions 28 to 507 of the family's 1533-position model. The record is from RNAcentral.